GUCUGGGCAGGAAAAGGGUUCAUGUCAGGUUCUCCAUACAACAAUGAAGUCAUCUCUCUAUAUAUAAUACUAAAAUUAACACUGUCUAUGCCUGUUCUCUUUCUUGUAGACACUGAGUGCUAAGCAAGAUGCCAGUACAUUGCGAAAGACAAUGCUUCACACUACUUCUGUUUAAAUUUAAUUUGCCACUCUCCUGGUCAACAGCUUAUUAACAUCUUCCUGCAGCCUGAAGUUUUCCUCCUCACUAUUUUCCACAGAGCCAGCUUUUCUGUCAUCUGCAAUUUUUCUCCCAAUGAUACACCCUGAAUUUAGAUCUAAAAACACAAACAUAUUCUGUAUAAUACAGAUAGCAAAGGACCUGUGGAAACCCAUUCAUCACAGCCUAUCAGUCACUCAAAUCUUACCCAGUGCAUGCCGGCACUGGAUCUGACUCGCCACUCUCCUUUAGAUCCCUUAGGCUCCUAUGUUUUUGACCAUCCAGCCUUCUGAGACCUUGUCAAAGCUUCCCCCUGAAAGGGAAGUGAAUAAAUAUCUGACAUUGGUUCUGCAGCUGUUUUCCAUUUGACGCCAGCAAGCCAACAUCUUCAUCUAGAAUGGAAAUGAAACACAUUUUCAGGGAUCUGUGGUGGAUUUGAAGUAUAGUAGCACAGAUGGAAGAAGUUGCACUUAUUCUGCACCGUUCCCACCCCCAGGAUGCUUCAAAGUUCAUUGGAGCCAGAUAAAACAAAUUUAAGACAGCCAUGAAACAAAGAAAGCCAAGGAAGCCCUUCAAAGAAAAGCAUUAAUGCUCAAAAUAACAAUGAACCAAAA
Molecule: long non-coding RNA, 810 nt
Organism: Hypanus sabinus (Atlantic stingray)
Lineage: Eukaryota; Metazoa; Chordata; Chondrichthyes; Myliobatiformes; Dasyatidae
Exons: 3
Source: RefSeq, a predicted model, not a curated record